RNAcentral lists this ribosomal RNA (393 nucleotides) under uncultured bacterium. RNAcentral describes it as "partial 16S ribosomal RNA". It matches the Rfam family "Bacterial small subunit ribosomal RNA", at positions 523 to 918 of the family's 1533-position model. The record is from RNAcentral.
AUACGGAGGAUCCGAGCGUUAUCCGGAUUUAUUGGGUUUAAAGGGAGCGUAGGUGGAUAGUUAAGUCAGUUGUGAAAGUUUGCGGCUCAACCGUAAAAUUGCAGUUGAUACUGGCUGUCUUGAGUACAGUAGAGGGGGGCGGAAUUCGUGGUGUAGCGGUGAAAUGCUUAGAUAUCACGAAGAACUCCGAUUGCGAAGGCAGCUCACUGGACUGCAACUGACACUGAUGCUCGAAAGUGUGGGUAUCAAACAGGAUUAGAUACCCUGGUAGUCCACACAGUAAACGAUGAAUACUCGCUGUUUGCGAUAUACAGUAAGCGGCCAAGCGAAAGCAUUAAGUAUUCCACCUGGGGAGUACGCCGGCAACGGUGAAACUCAAAGGAAUUGGCGGGG